AGACAACCAAUGCAUAUGAGAAGUGGGCAAAGCAAAUUUCCAAAACUGAACCACCUACAGAUCCUCUUAGAAAGAGGGGGAAAGCGAAGAAGAAGUCAGACGAUCUUCUUGCAAUUAAUAUCUCAGUGCUGUAGCAAGCGAAAGGAGCAUUUUGAUUCCAUGUUUUCAUCUUUGGUGAAUAAAUAUGGUGGUGGAAUGCAGAGUUCGGAACCCAGUGAAGAAGAGUUUGAGGCUGCAAGAAAGAAACUUGAGAGCCGAAAGUCUGCCAAAAAGUCCAGGCAGAAAUAACAGGAACAUGUGAUGUAGCUUUUGAUUGGAUUAACUGUGUAUAGCUUUGGUUGCUUUGAGCACUCUCUUAUGCUCCUAAUUUCUGUAGCCAAAAUUGGUGUGUUUGAUUUCCCCUUUGUUUGGAUGAUAUUUUGGGAUGAGAGAUGCUCAAUGCACUCCUUGGUUUGUUUCCUUAUCUUCUGGCAGCGCAAGAACUACAUUUGUUGUAAUACUAGAAAUUGCUGCCUAUAGUUUUGUGCAUGCUUAAGUUACAGGAACUUUACUUUCCCAAA
Molecule: long non-coding RNA, 560 nt
Organism: Eucalyptus grandis
Lineage: Eukaryota; Viridiplantae; Streptophyta; Magnoliopsida; Myrtales; Myrtaceae
Exons: 2
Source: RefSeq, a predicted model, not a curated record